CACGUGGGGAACCUGCCCCAUAGUCUGGGAUACCACUUGGAAACAGGUGCUAAUACCGUAUAAGAAAGCGGAUCGCAUGAUCAGCUUUUAAAAGGCGGCGUAAGCUGUCGCUAUGGGAUGGCCCCGCGGUGCAUUAGCUAGUUGGUAAGGUAAAGGCUUACCAAGGCGAUGAUGCAUAGCCGAGUUGAGAGACUGAUCGGCCACAUUGGGACUGAGACACGGCCCAAACUCCUACGGGAGGCAGCAGCC
RNAcentral lists this ribosomal RNA (249 nucleotides) under uncultured Lactobacillus sp. RNAcentral's name for it is "partial 16S ribosomal RNA". It matches the Rfam family "Bacterial small subunit ribosomal RNA", at positions 114 to 355 of the family's 1533-position model. Lineage: Bacteria; Bacillati; Bacillota; Bacilli; Lactobacillales; Lactobacillaceae. The record is from RNAcentral.